This 2902-nucleotide ribosomal RNA is filed under the name Escherichia coli. RNAcentral's name for it is "23S ribosomal RNA". It matches the Rfam family "Bacterial large subunit ribosomal RNA". The record is from RNAcentral. Lineage: Bacteria; Pseudomonadati; Pseudomonadota; Gammaproteobacteria; Enterobacterales; Enterobacteriaceae.
UUAAGCGACUAAGCGUACACGGUGGAUGCCCUGGCAGUCAGAGGCGAUGAAGGACGUGCUAAUCUGCGAUAAGCGUCGGUAAGGUGAUAUGAACCGUUAUAACCGGCGAUUUCCGAAUGGGGAAACCCAGUGUGUUUCGACACACUAUCAUUAACUGAAUCCAUAGGUUAAUGAGGCGAACCGGGGGAACUGAAACAUCUAAGUACCCCGAGGAAAAGAAAUCAACCGAGAUUCCCCCAGUAGCGGCGAGCGAACGGGGAGCAGCCCAGAGCCUGAAUCAGUGUGUGUGUUAGUGGAAGCGUCUGGAAAGGCGCGCGAUACAGGGUGACAGCCCCGUACACAAAAAUGCACAUGCUGUGAGCUCGAUGAGUAGGGCGGGACACGUGGUAUCCUGUCUGAAUAUGGGGGGACCAUCCUCCAAGGCUAAAUACUCCUGACUGACCGAUAGUGAACCAGUACCGUGAGGGAAAGGCGAAAAGAACCCCGGCGAGGGGAGUGAAAAAGAACCUGAAACCGUGUACGUACAAGCAGUGGGAGCACGCUUAGGCGUGUGACUGCGUACCUUUUGUAUAAUGGGUCAGCGACUUAUAUUCUGUAGCAAGGUUAACCGAAUAGGGGAGCCGAAGGGAAACCGAGUCUUAACUGGGCGUUAAGUUGCAGGGUAUAGACCCGAAACCCGGUGAUCUAGCCAUGGGCAGGUUGAAGGUUGGGUAACACUAACUGGAGGACCGAACCGACUAAUGUUGAAAAAUUAGCGGAUGACUUGUGGCUGGGGGUGAAAGGCCAAUCAAACCGGGAGAUAGCUGGUUCUCCCCGAAAGCUAUUUAGGUAGCGCCUCGUGAAUUCAUCUCCGGGGGUAGAGCACUGUUUCGGCAAGGGGGUCAUCCCGACUUACCAACCCGAUGCAAACUGCGAAUACCGGAGAAUGUUAUCACGGGAGACACACGGCGGGUGCUAACGUCCGUCGUGAAGAGGGAAACAACCCAGACCGCCAGCUAAGGUCCCAAAGUCAUGGUUAAGUGGGAAACGAUGUGGGAAGGCCCAGACAGCCAGGAUGUUGGCUUAGAAGCAGCCAUCAUUUAAAGAAAGCGUAAUAGCUCACUGGUCGAGUCGGCCUGCGCGGAAGAUGUAACGGGGCUAAACCAUGCACCGAAGCUGCGGCAGCGACGCUUAUGCGUUGUUGGGUAGGGGAGCGUUCUGUAAGCCUGUGAAGGUGUGCUGUGAGGCAUGCUGGAGGUAUCAGAAGUGCGAAUGCUGACAUAAGUAACGAUAAAGCGGGUGAAAAGCCCGCUCGCCGGAAGACCAAGGGUUCCUGUCCAACGUUAAUCGGGGCAGGGUGAGUCGACCCCUAAGGCGAGGCCGAAAGGCGUAGUCGAUGGGAAACAGGUUAAUAUUCCUGUACUUGGUGUUACUGCGAAGGGGGGACGGAGAAGGCUAUGUUGGCCGGGCGACGGUUGUCCCGGUUUAAGCGUGUAGGCUGGUUUUCCAGGCAAAUCCGGAAAAUCAAGGCUGAGGCGUGAUGACGAGGCACUACGGUGCUGAAGCAACAAAUGCCCUGCUUCCAGGAAAAGCCUCUAAGCAUCAGGUAACAUCAAAUCGUACCCCAAACCGACACAGGUGGUCAGGUAGAGAAUACCAAGGCGCUUGAGAGAACUCGGGUGAAGGAACUAGGCAAAAUGGUGCCGUAACUUCGGGAGAAGGCACGCUGAUAUGUAGGUGAAGUCCCUCGCGGAUGGAGCUGAAAUCAGUCGAAGAUACCAGCUGGCUGCAACUGUUUAUUAAAAACACAGCACUGUGCAAACACGAAAGUGGACGUAUACGGUGUGACGCCUGCCCGGUGCCGGAAGGUUAAUUGAUGGGGUUAGCGCAAGCGAAGCUCUUGAUCGAAGCCCCGGUAAACGGCGGCCGUAACUAUAACGGUCCUAAGGUAGCGAAAUUCCUUGUCGGGUAAGUUCCGACCUGCACGAAUGGCGUAAUGAUGGCCAGGCUGUCUCCACCCGAGACUCAGUGAAAUUGAACUCGCUGUGAAGAUGCAGUGUACCCGCGGCAAGACGGAAAGACCCCGUGAACCUUUACUAUAGCUUGACACUGAACAUUGAGCCUUGAUGUGUAGGAUAGGUGGGAGGCUUUGAAGUGUGGACGCCAGUCUGCAUGGAGCCGACCUUGAAAUACCACCCUUUAAUGUUUGAUGUUCUAACGUUGACCCGUGAUCCGGGUUGCGGACAGUGUCUGGUGGGUAGUUUGACUGGGGCGGUCUCCUCCUAAAGAGUAACGGAGGAGCACGAAGGUUGGCUAAUCCUGGUCGGACAUCAGGAGGUUAGUGCAAUGGCAUAAGCCAGCUUGACUGCGAGCGUGACGGCGCGAGCAGGUGCGAAAGCAGGUCAUAGUGAUCCGGUGGUUCUGAAUGGAAGGGCCAUCGCUCAACGGAUAAAAGGUACUCCGGGGAUAACAGGCUGAUACCGCCCAAGAGUUCAUAUCGACGGCGGUGUUUGGCACCUCGAUGUCGGCUCAUCACAUCCUGGGGCUGAAGUAGGUCCCAAGGGUAUGGCUGUUCGCCAUUUAAAGUGGUACGCGAGCUGGGUUUAGAACGUCGUGAGACAGUUCGGUCCCUAUCUGCCGUGGGCGCUGGAGAACUGAGGGGGGCUGCUCCUAGUACGAGAGGACCGGAGUGGACGCAUCACUGGUGUUCGGGUUGUCAUGCCAAUGGCACUGCCCGGUAGCUAAAUGCGGAAGAGAUAAGUGCUGAAAGCAUCUAAGCACGAAACUUGCCCCGAGAUGAGUUCUCCCUGACCCUUUAAGGGUCCUGAAGGAACGUUGAAGACGACGACGUUGAUAGGCCGGGUGUGUAAGCGCAGCGAUGCGUUGAGCUAACCGGUACUAAUGAACCGUGAGGCUUAACCUU